ACCCCCUUCGUGACUCAUUCAGAAUCAGAAAAGCAAGGUUUCAAAGUUCAAAAAUUUGGGUUCUAAAUUUUAACAAAAAGUUAGGGUUUUGUCGGCUCCGUCCGUUGUUGUCGGCACCUCCGCAGCCUCCUCCUUCCCCUUGUCCUGAACCCAGCCCCUCUCUUGUAGUUUGGCACGUCGUCCCCAUCCUCCCGUGGCUUCUCUGGUUGAGGGUUGGAGCUGCUCGUUGUCGUGUCACCGUCGUCUCCCCGCUCGCCAUCGUCUCGCCGCUCACCGUCUCGCUCACAUAGAGGAAGAAUCAUCGCAAGCGUCAUUGUUUCCUCCUCCUCUCAGUCAAGACAUCAUGUGCUUCUCAGGUGCGUCGUUGUCUGCUUAUCAGCCAUUCUACUCUCCGCGGUCCUUGUUGUCUGCGACCUUCAGUCACGCCGCGUCCUCUAUCUUAGGGUUCGUAGCUUUCUUCUUUUAAUUUCUUUGUAUGUUUUGGUAAUUUCUGAUGUGUUAAAUUUAUUUUUUUGUUUGGUUCUGCUUUGCUGCUAUUUUGUAUGUGUUGUGAUUUUGUUAUUUUAAUUUACUGAUUAUUGAUUAUUGAUUAUUGAAUGUAAUGUGAUUAUUGAUUAACUUUGGUUUUUCUAUGUUGCUGUUUUGUGUGUUAUUGUUGUUGAUUGUUCUAGAUUUUUGAAUGUGAAAUCAUUGAUUUUGUGUUGUUAUGAUGUUGCUGUUAUUUUUUUUUGUUACUAAUCGUUCUUGAUUUCUGAAUGUGAAAUUAUUGAUUUUGUGUUGUUUUGUUGCUACUGUUGUUUUUUUUAGAGUGAUUAUUUGUUACUGUUUUUUAAUUUUUGUUGUUGAUUGUUCUUGACAUUAAAGUUUGUGAAGUUGUUGAGGACUUAAAACUUGACUACUUGGUAAUGGAUAGCAGAGGCUUGGGUGCCAUUCAGAGGGUAUUGCUGGAAAGUGUUACAAAUUAUGUAACUACAAAAUACAAAUGUAAUUUGUCCUGUAACAAUUGUCAAAGACUUUGUCCCUUUUACCAUUUGAUCAUGUUGUUGUUCUCUAUUGAUAGUGUUUUUAGUUUUUAUAAAUAAAUAAGCUUUGUAUUGAACUGUACAUAUAUGAUUCAGUGUAUCUUGUUGGAA
This is a long non-coding RNA of Arachis duranensis, 1133 nucleotides long. RefSeq lists it as uncharacterized. The record is from RefSeq and is a predicted model, not a curated record. The transcript has 2 exons. NCBI's taxonomy places the organism in Eukaryota, Viridiplantae, Streptophyta, Magnoliopsida, Fabales, Fabaceae.